CGUUUCUAUCAGCGAAUCAGUCAUUUCAAUUUGACUCUUCUGAAAAUCAACAAUUUUAUUUUACACGUGGAGUACGCCCUGUAAGUUCCAUCUAAAAAACGAAACUUCGCCGUCGUAUCUUUUAAAUUAAUAGUAUAAAAAAAAAAAAAAAUUCGUUCACGCCACAAUGUAGAGUCCACUGUAUCCUACAAUUUACAUGUAAACAAAUUGUUCGUAUCGUCAAUAGUUAUCGAAAUAUGCGUCUGUCGCACUUUACCGUGGACAAAUGAAUAAUUUUGCGUUACCUUAGGGAGAUUGAUUUUGUGUGUACUUUGGUUAUUUGAAAAUGUGGUUCCUGAAGCUUGCGAAGGGCCCCUGUAGUCAGAGGUCAUUCUGUGUUUUGUUGCACAAGGCGCAACCACUCGAACACUGCGCUCCACUUGUUUGAAACUCUUUAAUUUAUAUUUCUGAUCAGAGUUCACAGUGUAACGAGACUGUAUUGCGUCAACGUUACUGUUUGUAUGCGGCACUCGCAGACUGUUUAUACAGUUGUUUAAUGGUAUUGCAUUUGUAUUUUCGAAUAAUUUUUUUUUUUUUUUUUUUUUUUUUUUUAUCAAAAUUUACCCCCUCGGAAUUAAAAAGAAAUUUUAACCAACCUCCAACGGUAGGUUACAUAUCUGUCCAAUGGACUCAUGCUUUUACCGAAAUUAGUUUUUCGCAAAGGGAAACAAAUGUCGGGGGUUGAAAGGUAACGUUCGUCCUAGCGCGUAUCUGUGUCAAAGCGAGCGAAAGGUACCUUGUGUACACUAAUAUUAUAAUGUACGAACGGCUUUAUCUGUGUACAUGGUUAACACAUUUGAAAAUAAUGACUCGGUGUAUGAAGGUUUUAAUACCUCAUUUACUUAGUCGAUGAAACGGCACGUGGGUCAAUAUACAUAGAAAUGUAAAAACGUUUUCUUUUGUUAAAAUGAUCAUAUAACGAGAGCGAUCAUAAAGCGACAUGCUUUGCAUAUUUGAUUGUUCUUUUACAUAAUAUAGAUUAAACAUUAUCGAGCGGCCAAUAUUUCCGCCCACUAAGAUAAAAAAUAUCAGCUACAUACUAGCCGCCGGUGAAGUCUCAACUAAUUGUUCUCAUAUUGUCGAUAUUUCCAGAAAACGUGGUUCUAAUUGUAUCACGUAUAUCGUCAUUUCUUCUUUGCUUGAAUAGACAUAGAAAAAUCAUGAAUUGGUGAAACUAGGUGACGAGUAUGAAGAACUUCUCUAUUCAAUAGGAGGAAUAACGAUAAUAGAGUUCCUGUUACCUUAUCGAUUAAUCGAUAUUACUAUUAGCAAAUGGGAGGACUAUUCGAUACUAAAUCAUGGUAAAUUGACCGUACAUGGUAAAUUAUUAACCCUGUGGUGUGGCGCGCCGGAAUAUCACUUUUGUCUUAAUAUCAUAGACAAUGUUAAAGAUAGGGCCAUGCAAUUUACAAUUGGUGUAAAUUAAUAUGCGUUAUUGUAAGAGAAAUAUAUGGAAGAAUCACAUAAUUGUACGUUUUGUUGAGCGCAAGACCAAAUAAUAAAUGAUGUAAUAUAAUAUACAUAU
Molecule: long non-coding RNA, 1564 nt
Organism: Hylaeus anthracinus
Lineage: Eukaryota; Metazoa; Arthropoda; Insecta; Hymenoptera; Colletidae
Exons: 3
Source: RefSeq, a predicted model, not a curated record